AUUGAACGCUGGCGGCAGGCUUAACACAUGCAAGUCGAACGGUAACAGCAUGCAGCUUGCUGCUUCGCUGACGAGCGGCGGACGGGUGAGUAAUGUCUGGGUAACUGACCGAUGGAGGGGGUUAACUACUGGAAACGGUAGCUAAUACCGCAUAACGUCGUAAGCCAAAAGAGGGGGACAUUAGGGCUACUUGUCAUCGGAUGUGCCCAGAUGGGGUUUGUUAGUAGGUGGGGUGACGGCUCACCGAGGCGACGAUCCCCAAAUGGUCUGAGAGGAUGGCCAGCCACACUAGAUCUGAGACACGGUACAGACCCCUACGGUAGGCAACGGUGGAGAAUGUUGCACAAGGGGCGCAAGCCUGAUGCAGCCAAGCCACGUGUAUGAAGAAGACCUUCGGGUUGGAGAUGUCUUUCGGCGGGGAGGAAGGAAAUAGUGUGAAUACCGUGACUCAUUGACGUUACCCGAAGAAGAAGCACCGGCUAACUCCGUG
This 490-nucleotide ribosomal RNA is filed under the name uncultured bacterium. Its description in RNAcentral is "partial 16S ribosomal RNA". It matches the Rfam family "Bacterial small subunit ribosomal RNA", at positions 30 to 507 of the family's 1533-position model. The record is from RNAcentral.